UGGGGAAUAUUGCACAAUGGAGGAAACUCUGAUGCAGCAACGCCGCGUGGAGGAUGACACAUUUCGGUGCGUAAACUCCUUUUAUAUGGGAAGAUAAUGACGGUACCAUAUGAAUAAGCACCGGCUAACUCCGUGCCAGCAGCCGCGGUAAUACGGAGGGUGCAAGCGUUACUCGGAAUCACUGGGCGUAAAGCGCGCGCAGGCGGCUAUUUAAGUUGGAUGUGAAAGCCUACGGCUCAACCGUAGAACUGCAUCCAAAACUAUUUAGCUAGAGUGUGGGAGAGGAAGAUGGAAUUAGUUGUGUAGGGGUAAAAUCCGUAGAGAUAACUAGGAAUACCAAAAGCGAAGGCAAUCUUCUGGAACACUACUGACGCUGAGGCGCGAAGGCGUGGGGAGCAAACAGG
Molecule: ribosomal RNA, 404 nt
Filed under: uncultured bacterium
Lineage: Bacteria
Description: bacterial SSU rRNA
Rfam family: Bacterial small subunit ribosomal RNA
Source: RNAcentral